RNAcentral lists this ribosomal RNA (1274 nucleotides) under Enterococcus hirae 78-09-C1. Its description in RNAcentral is "bacterial SSU rRNA". It matches the Rfam family "Bacterial small subunit ribosomal RNA", at positions 1 to 1246 of the family's 1533-position model. Lineage: Bacteria; Bacillati; Bacillota; Bacilli; Lactobacillales; Enterococcaceae. The record is from RNAcentral.
UUUUUAUGAGAGUUUGAUCCUGGCUCAGGACGAACGCUGGCGGCGUGCCUAAUACAUGCAAGUCGAACGCUUCUUUUUCCAUCGGAGCUUGCUCCACCGGAAAAAGAGGAGUGGCGAACGGGUGAGUAACACGUGGGUAACCUGCCCAUCAGAAGGGGAUAACACUUGGAAACAGGUGCUAAUACCGUAUAACAAUCGAAACCGCAUGGUUUUGAUUUGAAAGGCGCUUUCGGGUGUCGCUGAUGGAUGGACCCGCGGUGCAUUAGCUAGUUGGUGAGGUAACGGCUCACCAAGGCGACGAUGCAUAGCCGACCUGAGAGGGUGAUCGGCCACAUUGGGACUGAGACACGGCCCAAACUCCUACGGGAGGCAGCAGUAGGGAAUCUUCGGCAAUGGACGAAAGUCUGACCGAGCAACGCCGCGUGAGUGAAGAAGGUUUUCGGAUCGUAAAACUCUGUUGUUAGAGAAGAACAAGGAUGAGAGUAACUGUUCAUCCCUUGACGGUAUCUAACCAGAAAGCCACGGCUAACUACGUGCCAGCAGCCGCGGUAAUACGUAGGUGGCAAGCGUUGUCCGGAUUUAUUGGGCGUAAAGCGAGCGCAGGCGGUUUCUUAAGUCUGAUGUGAAAGCCCCCGGCUCAACCGGGGAGGGUCAUUGGAAACUGGGAGACUUGAGUGCAGAAGAGGAGAGUGGAAUUCCAUGUGUAGCGGUGAAAUGCGUAGAUAUAUGGAGGAACACCAGUGGCGAAGGCGGCUCUCUGGUCUGUAACUGACGCUGAGGCUCGAAAGCGUGGGGAGCAAACAGGAUUAGAUACCCUGGUAGUCCACGCCGUAAACGAUGAGUGCUAAGUGUUGGAGGGUUUCCGCCCUUCAGUGCUGCAGCUAACGCAUUAAGCACUCCGCCUGGGGAGUACGACCGCAAGGUUGAAACUCAAAGGAAUUGACGGGGGCCCGCACAAGCGGUGGAGCAUGUGGUUUAAUUCGAAGCAACGCGAAGAACCUUACCAGGUCUUGACAUCCUUUGACCACUCUAGAGAUAGAGCUUCCCCUUCGGGGGCAAAGUGACAGGUGGUGCAUGGUUGUCGUCAGCUCGUGUCGUGAGAUGUUGGGUUAAGUCCCGCAACGAGCGCAACCCUUAUUGUUAGUUGCCAUCAUUUAGUUGGGCACUCUAGCAAGACUGCCGGUGACAAACCGGAGGAAGGUGGGGAUGACGUCAAAUCAUCAUGCCCCUUAUGACCUGGGCUACACACGUGCUACAAUGGGAAGUACAACGAG